GUGUGCUGGCACAGUCCAUACCAUCUGAUCCAUUAGCCACGUUCAAAUCUGGUCCCUUGAUUGUUAUUAUCAAGUGUGUGCGCACGUUGACUGCAGUACAUGGUGGAUGUGAUGGGCUUGGCCAUCAGAUCUGCCACCUCAAUUAAUGAGGGAGAUCUGAUGGCCCUUGUUUUUUUGAUUUAGUUUAUUUUCCAUUUUAAUUUUUUGAAAUCCAUUUUCUCAUUUAAUUUAUU
Molecule: long non-coding RNA, 233 nt
Filed under: Lathyrus oleraceus (garden pea)
Lineage: Eukaryota; Viridiplantae; Streptophyta; Magnoliopsida; Fabales; Fabaceae
Description: Pisum sativum (pea) long non-coding RNA (PSAT_LNC026135)
Source: RNAcentral